Molecule: unclassified non-coding RNA, 263 nt
Filed under: Glomeraceae sp.
Lineage: Eukaryota; Fungi; Glomeromycota; Glomeromycetes; Glomerales; Glomeraceae
Description: partial contains 5.8S ribosomal RNA and internal transcribed spacer 2
Rfam family: 5.8S ribosomal RNA (bases 1-71)
Source: RNAcentral
GUGAAUCAUCGAAUUUUUGAACGCAAAUUGCGCUUCCUGGUAUCCCGGGAAGCAUGCCUGUUUGAGGGUCAGUAUACAUAAACAACCGGUUUAGUUACAAAUUGUGACGUUUCCGGAGUUUGGGCUAUCUUAAUAUUUUUGGUUAAUAGUUUUAAAAUUGACUUUUUUUGCGCAUUUUUAAACGUACAUAGAUUUUUUUUAUUUGUCUAUUCUUAAUGUCAAAUUCUUAUUAGAUGCGAUCACAUCGUUUGAAUUGGUGUCCU